Molecule: non-coding RNA, 128 nt
Organism: Gossypium raimondii (Peruvian cotton)
Lineage: Eukaryota; Viridiplantae; Streptophyta; Magnoliopsida; Malvales; Malvaceae
Source: Rfam
UGUUAAAAAUUUCAUUCAUUUCUAUUGUUAAAACAUAAUGUAGUUGGCAAAAUAAGUAGACAAUUAUUACUUCAUGCUGAUAUAUAAGGAUCGAUUUUUAACAAUAGAAAUUGAUGAAAUUUUUAACA